This is a long non-coding RNA of Melozone crissalis (California towhee), 559 nucleotides long. RefSeq lists it as uncharacterized. The transcript has 3 exons. The record is from RefSeq and is a predicted model, not a curated record. NCBI's taxonomy places the organism in Eukaryota, Metazoa, Chordata, Aves, Passeriformes, Passerellidae.
UCCCAUUUUGGGGGGAAAUUUUGGGGGAAAAAUUCCCAUUUUGGGGAUGGAUUUUAGGGUGAAAAAUUCCUUUUUUGGGGUAAAAAUUCCCAUUUUUGCAGCAGGUUGCUGGGUGGAAUUUGGGGUAAAAUUGCUCAAUUUAAGGGGUGGCUUUUGGGGUAAAAAUUCCUAUUUUGGGGCUGGAAUUUGGGGUGAAAAUGUCCCAUUUGGGGGUGGAAUUUUGGGUGAAAAAUGCCCAAUUUGGGGGUUGGAUUUUGGGGUGAAAACCACCAAUUUUUGGGGCAUAAUUUGGGGUAGAAAUGUUGGAUUUUGGGGUCGUUUUUAGGAUGAAAAUGCCCAGUUUGGGGGUUGUUUUUAGGGUGAAAACGCUCAGUUUGCAGGUGGAUUUUGGGAUGGAAACGCCCGCUCUGAGGGCGGAUUUUAGGGUCACGGCGGGGUCACGGCGGGGUCACCGCUGGGGCCGGCCCCUCCCCCCACCCACCCAGGCCGGCGCUCCAGGGACCCUCGGCUCCGCCCCCCGAAGCUCCGCCCCCUGACUUCAGGCCCUGCCCCCUUUUAA